RNAcentral lists this ribosomal RNA (509 nucleotides) under uncultured bacterium. RNAcentral describes it as "bacterial SSU rRNA". It matches the Rfam family "Bacterial small subunit ribosomal RNA", at positions 214 to 714 of the family's 1533-position model. The record is from RNAcentral.
CUCACCACGAGAUGAGUCCGCGUCCCAUCAGCUAGUUGGCGGUGUAAUAGACCACCAAGGCUUAGACGGGUAGCUGGUCUGAGAGGAUGACCAGCCACACUGGGACUGAGACACGGCCCAGACUCCUACGGGAGGCAGCAGUGGGGAAUAUUGGACAAUGGGCGAAAGCCUGAUCCAGCCAUGCCGCGUGAGUGAUGAAGGCCUUCGGGUCGUAAAAGCUCUGUGGGGAGGGACGAAAAAGCGUGACCUAAUACGUCUCGCCUUGACGGUACCUCCUUAGCAAGCACCGGCUAACUCCGUGCCAGCAGCCGCGGUAAUACGGAGGGUGCAAACGUUUGCUCGGAAUUAUUGGGCGUAAAGCGCACGUAGGCGGUCCGCUAAGUCGGAUGUGAAAGCCCUCGGCUUAACCGAGGAAGUGCAUCCGAAACUGACGGGCUAGAGUACGGAAGAGGGUUUCGGAAUUCCCGGUGUAGAGGUGAAAUUCGUAGAUAUCGGGAGGAACACCAGUG